Molecule: ribosomal RNA, 498 nt
Filed under: uncultured bacterium
Lineage: Bacteria
Description: partial 16S ribosomal RNA
Rfam family: Bacterial small subunit ribosomal RNA
Source: RNAcentral
AUUGAACGCUGGCGGCAUGCCUUACACAUGCAAGUCGAACGGUAACAGGUCUUCGGAUGCUGACGAGUGGCGAACGGGUGAGUAAUACAUCGGAACGUGCCUAGUAGUGGGGGAUAACUACCCGAAAGAGUGGCUAAUACCGCAUGAGAUCUACGGAUGAAAGCAGGGGAUCGCAAGACCUGGUGCUACUAGAGCGGCCGAUGGCAGAUUAGGUAGUUGGUGGGAUAAAAGCUUACCAAGCCGACGAUCUGUAGCUGGUCUGAGAGGACGAUCAGCCACACUGGGACUGAGACACGGCCCAGACUCCUACGGGAGGCAGCAGUGGGGAACUUUGGACAAUGGGCGCAAGCCUGAUCCAGCAAUGCCGCGUGCAGGAUGAAGGCCUUCGGGUUGUAAACUGCUUUUGUACGGAACGAAAAGCCCUGGGUUAAUACCCUGGGGUCAUGACGGUACCGUAAGGAUAAGCACCGGCUAACUACGUGCCAGCCGCCGCCGUAA